UCUCCAGACUCCUACGGGAGGCAGCAGUGGGGAAUAUUGCACAAUGGGGGAAACCCUGAUGCAGCAACGCCGCGUGAGUGAAGAAGUAUUUCGGUAUGUAAAGCUCUAUCAGCAGGGAAGAGAAUGACGGUACCUGACUAAGAAGCCCCGGCUAACUACGUGCCAGCAGCCGCGGUAAUACGUAGGGGGCGAGCGUUAUCCGGAUUUACUGGGUGUAAAGGGAGCGUAGACGGUUCUGCAAGUCUGAAGUGAAAGCCCGGGGCUUAACCGCGGAACGGCUUUGGAAACUGUGGAACUGGAGUGCUGGAGAGGCAAGCGGAAUUCCUAGUGUAGCGGUGAAAUGCGUAGAUAUUAGGAGGAACACCAGUGGCGAAGGCGGCUUGCUGGACAGUAACUGACGUUGAGGCUCGAAGGCGUGGGGAGCAAACAGGAUUAGAUACCCUAGUAC
RNAcentral lists this ribosomal RNA (448 nucleotides) under uncultured bacterium. RNAcentral's name for it is "bacterial SSU rRNA". It matches the Rfam family "Bacterial small subunit ribosomal RNA", at positions 328 to 793 of the family's 1533-position model. The record is from RNAcentral.